RNAcentral lists this ribosomal RNA (429 nucleotides) under Gemmatimonadota bacterium. Its description in RNAcentral is "Gemmatimonadetes bacterium partial 16S ribosomal RNA". It matches the Rfam family "Bacterial small subunit ribosomal RNA", at positions 355 to 776 of the family's 1533-position model. The record is from RNAcentral. Lineage: Bacteria; Pseudomonadati; Gemmatimonadota.
UAGGGAAUCUUCGGCAAUGGACGAAAGUCUGACCGAGCAACGCCGCGUGAGUGAAGAAGGUUUUCGGAUCGUAAAACUCUGUUGUUAGAGAAGAACAAGGACGUUAGUAACUGAACGUCCCCUGACGGUAUCUAACCAGAAAGCCACGGCUAACUACGUGCCAGCAGCCGCGGUAAUACGUAGGUGGCAAGCGUUGUCCGGAUUUAUUGGGCGUAAAGCGAGCGCAGGCGGUUUCUUAAGUCUGAUGUGAAAGCCCCCGGCUCAACCGGGGAGGGUCAUUGGAAACGGGGAGACUUGAGUGCAGAAGAGGAGAGUGGAAUUCCAUGUGUAGCGGUGAAAUGCGUAGAUAUAUGGGGGAACACCAGGGGCGAAGGCGGCUCUCUGGUCUAUAACUGACGCUGAGGCUCGAAAGCGUGGGGAGCAAACAGG